This 487-nucleotide ribosomal RNA is filed under the name uncultured soil bacterium. Its description in RNAcentral is "bacterial SSU rRNA". It matches the Rfam family "Bacterial small subunit ribosomal RNA", at positions 26 to 506 of the family's 1533-position model. The record is from RNAcentral.
AGAUUGAACGCUGGCGGCAUGCCUUACACAUGCAAGUCGAACGGCAGCACGGGGGCAACCCUGGUGGCGAGUGGCGAACGGGUGAGUAAUGCAUCGGAACGUGCCCAGUAGUGGGGGAUAACUAGUCGAAAGAUUAGCUAAUACCGCAUACGACCUAUGGGUGAAAGCGGGGGAUUCGCAAGAACCUCGCGCUAUCGGAGCGGCCGAUGUCUGAUUAGCUAGUUGGCGGGGUAAAAGCCCACCAAGGCUUCGAUCAGUAGCUGGUCUGAGAGGACGACCAGCCACACUGGGACUGAGACACGGCCCAGACUCCUACGGGAGGCAGCAGUGGGGAAUUUUGGACAAUGGGCGCAAGCCUGAUCCAGCCAUGCCGCGUGCGGGAAGAAGGCCUUCGGUGUAAACCGCUUUUUGGCAGGAACGAAACGGCGCGAGCGAAUAUCUCGCGUUAAUGACGGUACCUGCAGAAUAAGACACCGGCUAACUACGU